This 649-nucleotide ribosomal RNA is filed under the name Enterobacter hormaechei. Its description in RNAcentral is "bacterial SSU rRNA". It matches the Rfam family "Bacterial small subunit ribosomal RNA", at positions 52 to 689 of the family's 1533-position model. The record is from RNAcentral. Lineage: Bacteria; Pseudomonadati; Pseudomonadota; Gammaproteobacteria; Enterobacterales; Enterobacteriaceae.
CACAUGCAAGUCGAACGGUAACAGGAAGCAGCUUGCUGCUUUGCUGACGAGUGGCGGACGGGUGAGUAAUGUCUGGGAAACUGCCUGAUGGAGGGGGGAUAACUACUGGAAACGGUAGCUAAUACCGCAUAACGUCGCAAGACCAAAGAGGGGGACCUUCGGGCCUCUUGCCAUCGGAUGUGCCCAGAUGGGAUUAGCUAGUAGGUGGGGUAACGGCUCACCUAGGCGACGAUCCCUAGCUGGUCUGAGAGGAUGACCAGCCACACUGGAACUGAGACACGGUCCAGACUCCUACGGGAGGCAGCAGUGGGGAAUAUUGCACAAUGGGCGCAAGCCUGAUGCAGCCAUGCCGCGUGUAUGAAGAAGGCCUUCGGGUUGUAAAGUACUUUCAGCGGGGAGGAAGGCGAUAAGGUUAAUAACCUUGUCGAUUGACGUUACCCGCAGAAGAAGCACCGGCUAACUCCGUGCCAGCAGCCGCGGUAAUACGGAGGGUGCAAGCGUUAAUCGGAAUUACUGGGCGUAAAGCGCACGCAGGCGGUCUGUCAAGUCGGAUGUGAAAUCCCCGGGCUCAACCUGGGAACUGCAUUCGAAACUGGCAGGCUAGAGUCUUGUAGAGGGGGGUAGAAUUCCAGGUGUAGCGGUGAAAUGC